GAUGAACGCUGACAGAAUGCUUAACACAUGCAAGUCAACUUGAAUUUGGGUUUUUUAACUUAGAUUUGGGUGGCGGACGGGUGAGUAACGCGUAAAGAACUUGCCUCACAGCUAGGGACAACAUUUGGAAACGAAUGCUAAUACCUGAUAUUAUGAUUUUAAGGCAUCUUAGAAUUAUGAAAGCUAUACGUGCUGUGAGAGAGCUUUGCGUCCCAUUAGCUAGUUGGAGAGGUAACGGCUCACCAAGGCGAUGAUGGGUAGCCGGCCUGAGAGGGUGAACGGCCACAAGGGGACUGAGACACGGCCCUUACUCCUACGGGAGGCAGCAGUGGGGAAUAUUGGACAAUGGACCAAGAGUCUGAUCCAGCAAUUCUGUGUGCACGAUGACGUUUUUCGGAAUGUAAAGUGCUUUCAGUUGGGAAGAAAAAAAUGACGGUACCAACAGAAGAAGUGACGGCUG
Molecule: ribosomal RNA, 460 nt
Filed under: Fusobacterium sp. oral taxon A11
Lineage: Bacteria; Fusobacteriati; Fusobacteriota; Fusobacteriia; Fusobacteriales; Fusobacteriaceae
Description: bacterial SSU rRNA
Rfam family: Bacterial small subunit ribosomal RNA
Source: RNAcentral